UUUUCAACAACAUGUGAUAUUACAUCACAGAAGGGAGUCACUCUCCUCGUCCCAGCUGCAGUACACUGAGCAGUGCUAGGUACUAAUAAGCCUGAGCGGUCGUUAUCUAGUGAUUUUUUGUUUGUUUGUUUUUUCGCUAGUUUUGCAUUUCAUCAUUUUUCAUCAUCAUGAAUAAUUGUGUUUGUGCAGGCUGCACAAAUUCCAGCCUGUCAGGACCUGAAGUCCACUUUCCUCGCAGGAACAGCAACAGCUAGCUUUCAUGCAGUUGAAGAGACAGACUUCACUGCUGCCUAUGUGACUGUGACUCAUUUUAGACAGGAGGGUUAUGUUAUUUGCGAUAUGAUGAAGUUCAGGAUGGAAUGUCAAAGCCAGGACUGUGUGAGGCUGUUAGCUGGUGCGGUUUCUCUGGUAAACAAAGCUGCUUCAUCAGUUCUGCCUUCAGCAGCAGUGCUGACUAGAGGGAUUCAACAAAGAGAUGAACUGUUCUGGUAAGUCCUUGUUCCAAUGUUUUUAACUUCGAGAUCAGUCAACAUGCUAGCUUGAAUUGAAAAGUAACAUCUGAUGUGUGUUAAUUCUUGUGAGGCAGCGAAACUAACCUGUAAAACCACCAGCCAAUGAGGGAUAAUGCUAAUGUUAGUUAACUAACAUUGUUAGCAUCCUAUUUUGUAAACGCGGUUACCGUCUGACGCGGCAUGACGUUAGUUAUUAACUUAUCUAACGCAGGAUCUUGUGUCUAGUUACAUAGCUUGGUGACUUUCUGUUUGUUAAGCUAGAACAUUUGUAAUUGUUUAUUCUCAUGUGGUGUUAUGUUAAUGUGAUAUAAGGUUUUUAUAAGGAUUGAUCUUCACCAUAUUUUCCUGCAUAAUAGUGUAUAUAUGACAUUGCACUGCUGUAAAAUAAUGUAAAAUGAGAGUUACUCUCAAAAAGGACAGACACAUAUUUGCAGUUUCAAGCUUUCUGUGUAACUUUGAAACCAUCUCAGGAGCAAGUAGAGAUGUCAGGAAACAGCUAAUAAAUAGCAGGUGUGCCAGCUGAUUGUUCAGCAGCAUCUGAUAAUGUCUCAACAUCAUGUAAAAGCCUUCAGUUCCUUUCCCCAACAUCUUUAACUUGUGUUGAGUCCAGAAUGAACAAACCAUUCCUUUAAUGCCUGGCAUGUUGGUAAAAAUUGUAUUCUGAUGUUUGUAGUUUAGUUUAAGUUGGCUGUCUUUUAUGUCUAACAUUUUCUUUUCAACAUAUUGUUUCUGUUCUCAAACAGGUCCAGGGAGGCUUUGGAUGCAGGCAUGAAGGAGAGGGAGUGGAGAACCUGAGGCUGUGGAGGCCAGCCGUCAUCAACCAGUUAGCAGUUUCACAUAUGCAUCAGCACUGAUGGAGUCUCUGAGGGAGAACUACUCCAUGUCACCAAAGAGUACACACAAGAGUGCACUGGAGUCCCUCUCCAGAUCCUGCCGGCAGAUCACUAAACACAAGGCAGUCAGCCUGUAACCUGCACAGCCUUGAUGGUUUAACACAAGACUUUAGUGUGAAAUCCAGCACAGCUGUUGGGGAUCUUCAUUUACAGUUUGACAUUAUCAUUAUUAUUAUUGUUAUUAUAGAUUUUUUUUACAAUUCAUAUUUACCAAGAGGUUACAUUUUUAGUUUCAGACUGACUCAUUUCCUUUGUUGUUUAUAUUUACGUCAUGGUGUGGGUUUUGACCGUUUCAGUGGAACUACUUAGUUCCCUUGAAACUGUCUGUUCUUAAAUAAUGCUCUGAGUAAAAUGAGUGACCAUAGCAACAGGGGCACAAUGAGAGCCUUUACAAUUUAUUGCAACACGUUAACAAGCUAAUAUCUAAUUACAACAAUGAGUGACUUCAACAUUUCUUUUAACUUAUUUGGAGACUAUGACAACUUUGGUGACUGGGAUGCAGCUGAAGAAAGAGAAAUUGAGAAGAAAAAGGAGAAACAGCACAAGGAGUUAACACUUAAAGAGGAGAAUUAAAUCAAAAAGAAGAUCAAAAGGAUGAGAUCAACACAAAGAAAACAACACUGAGAGACUUCCUUGCACAGAAACUAAUGGACCCCAACUUUGAAAACUAUGAGUUUUCAAUCAUAUAUGUCCAAAUGUCCAUCAGAUGCCAAAUCUUUCUACCUCCACCGGAAGCGUGCCGUAACCUCUAACGUAGUGCAGGCAGGAGCAGAUGUCCAUUACCUCAGGAACAUGAUGAAAAAGAUCAGCAAAGAGAUGAUUAUACUUAAUGUCUAUUGGCUAAUAAAGACAUGACACUAAAUAAUAUUUUCUCCUUCCAUCCCCAAAAUAUAAUUAAUAUCCUUAUUAUUCUUCCUUUCAGGUGGGUCUUUUGCGAGUCUACACAAACCACAGCCUGCCAAGCACCAUUUCCGUUGCAUACGAACCUAAUGAGAUGGUAAUGAUAGUGUAGAUGAUAAUCUCUUCUUACUCAAACCCUGCGGUAUUACCAGAGAAACAAAGUUAUGGCUUGUGAAAAACUUGAGAUUUUGAUUGCAAAACGCAUGAAAACAUAAAUUAAUGGUGUUCAUUUUUUUUCUUUGGUAAGUGACCAUGGGGAUAAGGCCCGACAAGGAUUAAUGGACAUUAAUUCCUGAUUUCAACACUUUGUUGGUUGGACAACGUGAACAACACAUGGAACAACCUUAGCAUUCAAGGCUGCAAAACGUACGCCCUUUUAUCGACAUGUGUGAUGAGCUAAUAUCAACUCGUCAGCAGGGUAGAACACGAAUUGUUCAGACCAAGAUGAAGUUUUGGACCUUUGAACACAUUUAACAUUCAACAUCAUAACAGGAUAUGAAUGACAGAAAAUCACAAAAAGCAUGAUAUGUCCCCUAUAAGAUUCAGUUUAAAUGCCUGUGAAACUGA
This is a long non-coding RNA of Thunnus maccoyii (southern bluefin tuna), 2872 nucleotides long. RefSeq lists it as uncharacterized. NCBI's taxonomy places the organism in Eukaryota, Metazoa, Chordata, Actinopteri, Scombriformes, Scombridae. The transcript is spliced from 2 exons. The record is from RefSeq and is a predicted model, not a curated record.